RNAcentral lists this ribosomal RNA (429 nucleotides) under Actinomycetes bacterium. Its description in RNAcentral is "Actinobacteria bacterium partial 16S ribosomal RNA". It matches the Rfam family "Bacterial small subunit ribosomal RNA", at positions 355 to 776 of the family's 1533-position model. Lineage: Bacteria; Bacillati; Actinomycetota; Actinomycetes. The record is from RNAcentral.
UAGGGAAUCUUCCGCAAUGGGCGAAAGCCUGACGGAGCAACGCCGCGUGAGUGAUGAAGGUCUUCGGAUCGUAAAACUCUGUUAUUAGGGAAGAACAAAUGUGUAAGUAACUAUGCACGUCUUGACGGUACCUAAACAGAAAGCCACGGCUAACUACGUGCCAGCAGCUGCGGUAAAACGUAGGUGGCAAGCGUUAUCCGGAAUUAUUGGGCGUAAAGCGCGCGUAGGCGGUUUUUUAAGUCUGAUGUGAAAGCCCACGGCUCAACCGUGGAGGGUCAUUUUAAACUGGAAAACUUAAGUGCAGAAGAGGAAAGUGGAAUUCCAUGUGUAGCGGUGAAAUGCGCAGUGUUAUGGAGUAACACCAGUGGCGAAGGCGACUUUCUGGUCUGUAACUAACGCUGAUGUGCGAAAGCGUGGGGAUCAAACAGG